CCUGUACAAGCCCUAGGUCUGCAUACAGUUCUUCCGCCUAGCACUGAUUUCUUUAGGGUGCGCACAGACGCUCAGUACCUAACCCCCUGAGAGGCACCGGGCCUGAAGACACAGAAGACCACCCCCACGCCCCCACCCCGUGCCCUCAAGAAUCUCAUGCUUUGCUUGGAGGAGCAAGCUUAUAGAUGAAGUGAUACAGUAUGAGACACAGUAAUCAAACAGCAUAUAACGAGAUAUGGAAAUCUCAGUGAGAUAACAUACUUAUUCAUGGAGGGGUCCAGGAAGACGUUGAAAGUGAAGCAAACCUUCUAUACUCGUUUGCAACCUACUUAAGGCCUAUGAGCUUCACUUGGGCGUAAGCUCUGGGAAAAUCACCAAGUCGCACACUGUGAUGCAGAAAAGCUGUAUGCCAUUAGAUGUUAAUGACCAGACAGCCAAAAGCAAUACUUUUAAUUGUUACAAGUCAGGGAAAUGGUCACUCCUUGGGGAAGAAACAGCUGGCAUGG
Molecule: long non-coding RNA, 506 nt
Organism: Prionailurus viverrinus (fishing cat)
Lineage: Eukaryota; Metazoa; Chordata; Mammalia; Carnivora; Felidae
Exons: 3
Source: RefSeq, a predicted model, not a curated record